GGCUAAAUAACAUAACUGGAAAAUGUAUUAGAUUGCAAAUCUUAUAAUAUCGGUUCAAAUCCGAUUUUAGCCU
RNAcentral lists this transfer RNA (73 nucleotides) under Pleurosigma inscriptura. RNAcentral describes it as "tRNA-Cys". It matches the Rfam family "tRNA". Rfam says of the family: Transfer RNA (tRNA) molecules are approximately 80 nucleotides in length. Their secondary structure includes four short double-helical elements and three loops (D, anti-codon, and T loops). Further hydrogen bonds mediate the characteristic L-shaped molecular structure. tRNAs have two regions of fundamental functional importance: the anti-codon, which is responsible for specific mRNA codon recognition, and the 3' end, to which the tRNAs corresponding amino acid is attached (by aminoacyl-tRNA synthetases). tRNAs cope with the degeneracy of the genetic code in two manners: having more than one tRNA (with a specific anti-codon) for a particular amino acid; and 'wobble' base-pairing, i.e. permitting non-standard base-pairing at the 3rd anti-codon position. Lineage: Eukaryota; Bacillariophyta; Bacillariophyceae; Naviculales; Pleurosigmataceae. The record is from RNAcentral.